RNAcentral lists this long non-coding RNA (1299 nucleotides) under Callithrix jacchus (white-tufted-ear marmoset). Its description in RNAcentral is "lncRNA (ENSCJAG00000075494.1)". Lineage: Eukaryota; Metazoa; Chordata; Mammalia; Primates; Cebidae. The record is from RNAcentral.
GUUUCAUUAAAACCCAAAGCAUUUGACAAACUGUAUUUUCAGAAAGUUUUUUCCGUGAGUUGGUUUCUAGCAGGAGGAAUUUAUGAUGAGCUGACUUAAUCCUUGCUUUUUGGAGGCGUCUAAAAAAAGUUCUUUCUAUAAACAGCUGAAUUGCGUGAGGAGAACGGCAGACCAAGCAAUGGCUAGGACGUCUUUGUGAAAAAGCUCACCCCAUGCCGUUGUAAAGGCCCCGUGCGCUGCCCAGCUUUGGCGUCUACCUCCUGAGCUAAUUGUGCUGUCUGGAGGUUGGCAGGCUUCCAGCCUUACCUGGACCAGUUUCGCUCCCAAACCCAGGUUGCCUGUGUAUUCACUUAUCACAACAAACCACUGUGAAAUCAUUCACAGACUUUGGAAAUCACAUACGUAAGAUCUGCUGCCUGCGUGCUUGCCUGGAAGCCGACAUCAAGCCCAUUUGGCCAGAAAUACCUCUAGAGGUGGAGCUGGUCCAGAAGACUGGACCCCCAGAGUGCUAUGGAAUGUCUAUGGGAACAAAGGAUGAUCUAAUGGACAACAGAGAAACACGAUGAUCUGGUAGGAGGUCCCUAGAAGAAUGGCUUCAAGUGAGACCUAGAAAUACACCCAAUGGGUUAGUCUUUGGGAAGCUUGAUGAGAAUAAACUUCCAGUAGAUUUUGAAGGUCAACCUUUGUUGUGAAGGGAGGUGGGGUAGAGUGGGCUUUUAGGGGCUGGGAGAAAAGAUAAACCAUCCUGUCGUCUGGCCCUCUACUGUCCAUUUUCCUCACCAGGACCAGGGAAAAGGGAGGCAAGCUGGGCACCGAGGGAGACAAAAUUUCAGGAGCUGCUCACUGCUGUGUACUUGCAGUACUGUAGCCACAAGGAUCUUUCAAACAUGCAUAUAUGAGUGUAUCAAAGACUAGACCAAAUACCUUAAUAGGGCUCUGCCAACCUGGGAUCUCUUGAAUGUAAAAUGCAGCUUGUAGGUCAGAAGGGAGAUUCUGAGAGUGUGCCUUCCUAACUAGCUGCCAAGGUGAUGCUGAUGCUGCUGGCCUGGGGACCACAGAACAGUGAGGGUUCAGGUGCCAGUAAAGUCAGGAUAUCAGCUGGGUCUGGCCUACCACCUGUUUUUGUAAAUAAAGUUUUAUAAGAACACAUUCCUUUACAUAUGGUUUAUGAGUGCCUUCUAGUUACAGCAGCAGAGUUGAAUAGUUGCAACAGACUGCAUGACCCAUAAAUCCGAAAUUACUAUCUGCCCUUUACAGAAAAGUUUGCCAAUCCCGCUUUAUGAAAUCUAUCUGUUUUUC